UAGGAAUACUAGUAAUAGUAGGGCGGAUGUAG
Molecule: transfer RNA, 32 nt
Filed under: Myrcia reticulosa
Lineage: Eukaryota; Viridiplantae; Streptophyta; Magnoliopsida; Myrtales; Myrtaceae
Description: partial tRNA-His
Source: RNAcentral